AUUGAACGCUGGCGGCAGGCCUAACACAUGCAAGUCGAAUGGUAACAGGAAACAGCUUGCUGUUUCGCUGACGAGUGGCGGACGGGUGAGUAAUGUCUGGGAAACUGCCUGAUGGAGGGGGAUGACUACUGGAAACGGUAGCUAAUACCGCAUAACGUCGCAAGACCAAAGAGGGGGACCUUCGGGCCUCUUGCCAUCAGAUGUGCCCAGAUGGGAUUAGCUAGUAGGUGGGGUAACGGCUCACCUAGGCGACGAUCCCUAGCUGGCCUGAGAGGAUGACCAGCCACACUGGAACUGAGACACGGUCCAGACUCCUACGGGAGGCAGCAGUGGGGAAUAUUGCACAAUGGGCGCAAGCCUGAUGCAGCCAUGCCGCGUGUAUGAAGAAGGCCUUCGGGUUGUAAAGUACUUUCAGCGGGGAGGAAGGGAGUAAAGUUAAUACCUUUGCUCAUUGACGUUACCCGCAGAAGAAGCACCGGCUAACUCCGUG
Molecule: ribosomal RNA, 490 nt
Filed under: uncultured bacterium
Lineage: Bacteria
Description: partial 16S ribosomal RNA
Rfam family: Bacterial small subunit ribosomal RNA
Source: RNAcentral